UACGUAGGGUGCAAGCGUUGUCCGGAAUCAUUGGGCGUAAAGAGCUCGUAGGCGGUCCGUCACGUCCGCUGUGAAAACCCAGGGCUCAACCCUGGGCUUGCAGUGGAUACGGGCAGACUAGAGGUAGGUAGGGGAGAAUGGAAUUCCCGGUGUAGCGGUGAAAUGCGCAGAUAUCGGGAGGAACACCGGUGGCGAAGGCGGUUCUCUGGGCCUGACCUGACGCUGAGGAGCGAAAGCGUGGGGAGCGAACAGG
RNAcentral lists this ribosomal RNA (253 nucleotides) under uncultured bacterium. RNAcentral's name for it is "partial 16S ribosomal RNA". It matches the Rfam family "Bacterial small subunit ribosomal RNA", at positions 524 to 776 of the family's 1533-position model. The record is from RNAcentral.